Molecule: ribosomal RNA, 800 nt
Filed under: Allomuricauda sp.
Lineage: Bacteria; Pseudomonadati; Bacteroidota; Flavobacteriia; Flavobacteriales; Flavobacteriaceae
Description: bacterial SSU rRNA
Rfam family: Bacterial small subunit ribosomal RNA
Source: RNAcentral
AGGGGUAGGGGGUGCUUGCACCCCUGAGACCGGCGCACGGGUGCGGAACGCGUAUGGAACCUGCCCCUGUCAGGGGAAUAGCCCAGGGAAACUUGGAUUAAUGCCCCAUGGUAUCGGAGCAUCGCAUGAUGUUCCGAUUAAAGAUUUAUCGGACAGGGAUGGCCAUGCGUACCAUUAGCUUGAUGGUGGGGUAACGGCCCACCAUGGCGACGAUGGUUAGGGGCCCUGAGAGGGGGAUCCCCCACACUGGUACUGAGACACGGACCAGACUCCUACGGGAGGCAGCAGUGAGGAAUAUUGGACAAUGGUCGGAAGACUGAUCCAGCCAUGCCGCGUGCAGGAUGACGGCCCUAUGGGUUGUAAACUGCUUUUAUACGGGAAGAAACGCACCUACGUGUAGGUGUCUGACGGUACCGUAAGAAUAAGGACCGGCUAACUCCGUGCCAGCAGCCGCGGUAAUACGGAGGGUCCGAGCGUUAUCCGGAAUCAUUGGGUUUAAAGGGUCCGUAGGCGGGCCUGUAAGUCAGGGGUGAAAGUUUGUGGCUCAACCAUAAAAUUGCCUUUGAUACUGCAGGUCUUGAGUCAUGGUGGGGUUGCCGGAACAUGUGGUGUAGCGGUGAAAUGCAUAGAUAUCACAUAGAACACCGAUCGCGAAGGCAGGUGACCAACCAUGUACUGACGCUGAUGGACGAAAGCGUGGGUAGCGAACGGGAUUAGAUACCCCGGUAGUCCACGCCGUAAACGAUGGAUACUAGCUGUGGGGGCGCAAGCCUCCGUGGCCAAGCGAAAGUGAUAAGUAU